CGUCAUCAUCGGCUCCCUCCUCCUCAUGAUCUGGCUCAUCCUCCGCCCCAACAUCCCCGAGGAAUAGCCCUAAAGUCCGCAGCGCCGUGAACGCGACUUUCUCGGCAGCGAACUCAUUCGUCGACGACUGGGUGGCGAGAGUGAUCAACGAUGACAGGGCGGCGCGUGGGGCGGUGAGUUUCAAUAUCAAGCUGCUGGCUAGGGUUCAGUUUCGGAAAAGCGGGCUGAGGGUGCUGUGCCGUUUACGAUUUUGAAUAAUGGGACCAGGACGAUGACCGGCGGAGGUAGAGAUUGCGGCGUUGCUGUCUGAGUGAGUGAUGCAAUCUGUUGAC
RNAcentral lists this long non-coding RNA (332 nucleotides) under Rosa chinensis. RNAcentral describes it as "sRNA RchiOBHm_Chr5g0047781". The record is from RNAcentral. Lineage: Eukaryota; Viridiplantae; Streptophyta; Magnoliopsida; Rosales; Rosaceae.